Nylanderia fulva is the source of this 469-nucleotide non-coding RNA. The record is from RefSeq and is a predicted model, not a curated record. Lineage: Eukaryota; Metazoa; Arthropoda; Insecta; Hymenoptera; Formicidae.
GUCUCGUACGUGCGCGACCGCGGUCGAGACGUUUUCACAAGCGCCAAUUAGUUGUUGAUCAUCGAUCGGAGAAACCGCUCCCGGCAUUAGCGACGUACAGUUAAUCGCUGACCUAUUUACGAAACCAUUCGCGCCGGUUCGGAGCCGGAAGAAGAGAGAAGCUGUUUGGAGGAGACACCGAUGAAUGAACCGUCAUGACCUAUUUCUAGGAUUGAUUAAAUGAAACGAUGACGUUGUACAAAGGUGGAAAAAAUGUUGGUGCUGUCCUCUCUACAGCAUUGUCUCUCGACAGCAUCGUAAAUGCCCGUUCACAAUGUCGGCAAAACAGAAUUUCACUGGUCGACAUCGCAGUAAACUGCAUGUUACAGGGAUCUACCACAUCCGCGAUCGUAAAAGUUAGAACGUUAUCUUGUGUAAACAAAAUGUAUGGCAAACAAUAAAGGAGAAAUCAUUUUUCUUUGCUGUUGAA